Molecule: ribosomal RNA, 484 nt
Filed under: uncultured bacterium
Lineage: Bacteria
Description: partial 16S ribosomal RNA
Rfam family: Bacterial small subunit ribosomal RNA
Source: RNAcentral
AUUGAACGCUGGCGGCAGGCCUAACACAUGCAAGUCGAGCGGAUGAAGGGAGCUUGCUCCUGGAUUCAGCGGCGGACGGGUGAGUAAUGCCUAGGAAUCUGCCUGGUCGUGGGGGAUAACGUCCGGAAACGGGCGCUAAUACCGCAUACGUCCUGAGGUAGAACGUGGGGGAUCUUCGGACCUCACGCUAUCAGAUGAGCCUAGGUCGGAUUGGCUAGUUGGUGGGGUAAAGGCCUACCAAGGCGACGAUCCGUAACUGGUCUGAGAGGAUGAUCAGUCACACUGGAACUGAGACACGGUCCAGACUCCUACGGGAGGCAGCAGUGGGGAAUAUUGGACAAUGGGCGAAAGCCUGAUCCAGCCAUGCCGCGUGUGUGAAGAAGGUCUUCGGAUUGUAAAGCACUUUAAGUUGGGAGGAAGGGCAGUAAGUUAAUACCUUGCUGUUUUGACGUUACCAACAGAAUAAGCACCGGCUAACUUCGUG